UGGGGAAUAUUGGGCAAUGGGGGCAACCCUGACCCAGCGACGCCGCGUGGGGGAAGACGGCCUUCGGGUUGUAAACCUCUUUUGUACGGGAAGAAGGAAGUGACGGUACUGUGCGAAUAAGUCCCGGCUAACUACGUGCCAGCAGCCGCGGUAAUACGUAGGGGACGAGCGUUGUCCGGAAUUACUGGGCGUAAAGGGCGCGCAGGCUGUGCUGCAAGUCAGCUGUUAAAUGUCGGGGCUCAACCCGGGCA
RNAcentral lists this ribosomal RNA (251 nucleotides) under uncultured bacterium. RNAcentral's name for it is "partial 16S ribosomal RNA". It matches the Rfam family "Bacterial small subunit ribosomal RNA", at positions 355 to 620 of the family's 1533-position model. The record is from RNAcentral.